AUUGAUCGCUGGCGGCAUGCCUUACACAUGCAAGUCGAACGGUAACGGGCCUUCGGGUGCCGACGAGUGGCGAACGGGUGAGUAAUACAUCGGAACGUGCCCGAUCGUGGGGGAUAACGAGGCGAAAGCUUUGCUAAUACCGCAUACGAUCUACGGAUGAAAGCAGGGGACCGCAAGGCCUUGCGCGGACGGAGCGGCCGAUGGCAGAUUAGGUAGUUGGUGGGAUAAAAGCUUACCAAGCCGACGAUCUGUAGCUGGUCUGAGAGGAUGAUCAGCCACACUGGGACUGAGACACGGCCCAGACUCCUACGGGAGGCAGCAGUGGGGAAUUUUGGACAAUGGGCGCAAGCCUGAUCCAGCCAUGCCGCGUGCAGGAUGAAGGCCUUCGGGUUGUAAACUGCUUUUGUACGGAACGAAAAGCCUUCUUUUAAUACAGGAGGGUCAUGACGGUACCGUAAGAAUAAGCACCGGCUAACUACGUG
This 482-nucleotide ribosomal RNA is filed under the name uncultured bacterium. RNAcentral describes it as "partial 16S ribosomal RNA". It matches the Rfam family "Bacterial small subunit ribosomal RNA", at positions 30 to 507 of the family's 1533-position model. The record is from RNAcentral.